AGCAAAUAAAGGAGGAAGCGCUGCUAAAGUGGAGUGAGAAGGAGGAGCUGCAUACCUUCUUGAUGUGAUAUACGGACUUUGCUCUCACUUCACCUGUGUUUUCAUUCACUCUUUCUGCAUCGCCAGAAUCAAGCACACAUACAGGCUUCAACGUGAUACUACUGCAGUAUGGAUAAUAUUCAGAAUGCUAAGAGUGAGGCAGAGGAGGUGAAAGUUGCUAUGCUGGAAAAUGAAAAUAAAACAGAAGAACUCAAAGAUGUCAAUCAAAAACCUGAAAAGCCUCAGUGCACCUUUCAGAGGAAAAAAUGUAAGGAAUCUGCUGUGAACCAGAAGAUGGUGUACCUGCGGGCUAAUAAAGGACUCAUAGCCACUGUACUGAUUUCAGCUGCUCUUAUAUUUGCUGUUGUGGUUGCCAUGCUUGCCACUACAGAUGGGCACAGUCACUCAGCCCACAACUCAAAACACAUUGUGCACGUGCAUAAUGUCACAGAAAUGCCAUAGCAAUAGCUGCAGCAGACUAGAAGGAUAAAUCAGUUUGACCAGCACUGUUAUUUUCUUUAUAAAAAAGUCUUUUCAUUUUAGACAGUUUCUGAUAUUGAUUAUGUUUUAUGUUAUAAAGUGUCAUCUGAUCUAAUAUGACGUUUUCCAGCAUAAUUAAAGGUGUAGUUCAGCCAGAAAUAAACAUUUGUAUUGUUUACUUACUCUCAUGUUUUUCCAAACCUGUAUGAAUUUUUUUUUUUUUUUUUUUUUAUGCUAUGAUAAAUAUCUUUGUCCAUUCAGUCCAGUGGGGUCAAAAACAUUGGAUCCUACUGACAAUUUUAUUUAUUUUUUUAUCUUCUUUUGUGAUCCACAGAACAAAGAAAGUCAGGUUUGGAAUGGCUUGAGAGUGAGUCUAACUGGAUUUUCAGUUUUUAUGUGAACUUUCUCUUUAGGAAUGCAUGAUCAACUUAAUGUUACUGUACCAAUCUGCUGUUGUGUUCACUAAAGCUCAUCAGUUUCAGGCUGUCAUAUAAACAUGACUUGGCAGGAAAGGCUAUCAAGAAAAACACAUUCCCCAUGAAAACUCUGCUGAUAGUUUGGUAUGUAAACACAAGGAGAUGUGAUUAAAAGCAAGGGCAUUUUCUGAGGUCAAGUGCACAAUAUCCUUUUUAUUCUACGAAGUGACAAAAGAAGCACACAUGCAAUUUUAGUAGUCAUCUUAAACACAUGCUUUUUGUUUGAGGCUAAAGAUUUUAUAUAAAAAAGCACUUUCUUGUUCACAACCAUAUUUUGUAUGUUGGAAACAAUUAACCACCUCAAGCUGUCAUCGUGUUUUGUUCAAAAAUUCGAUGUAAAUUCCUCAAAAAUAAAUGCAGACAUCUAUUAUAAUCUGCUGUUGUCAUUGAAUCAGCUUUAGUGCUUCAUGUUGACAAAUCAGUUCACAUUCAAAUGCCUAAACAAAUUGAUGGCAGCCCAGUCUAGUCGCUUCAUAAGACGCUUUCUUUACUUGAAUUGAAUCAAGCUGAACUAUUGUCUUCUGUGGAGCUGCUCAGCUGAAUCGCAUAUGAACAAUUUUGUAUUUGUGAGCUGCUUUACUGCAGAAUGUCUCCAUAGUUGAGUUUCCAUAAUUGAUACUGCUAUUUUUCCUGUUUAUCACUGUUUUGACACAAUAUGUAUUGUAAAAAGAGGUACAUAAAUAAAGGAGACUUUGCUUG
Onychostoma macrolepis is the source of this 1694-nucleotide long non-coding RNA. RefSeq lists it as uncharacterized. The record is from RefSeq and is a predicted model, not a curated record. NCBI's taxonomy places the organism in Eukaryota, Metazoa, Chordata, Actinopteri, Cypriniformes, Cyprinidae. The transcript has 3 exons.